RNAcentral lists this ribosomal RNA (399 nucleotides) under Alteromonas simiduii. RNAcentral's name for it is "bacterial SSU rRNA". It matches the Rfam family "Bacterial small subunit ribosomal RNA", at positions 914 to 1314 of the family's 1533-position model. The record is from RNAcentral. Lineage: Bacteria; Pseudomonadati; Pseudomonadota; Gammaproteobacteria; Alteromonadales; Alteromonadaceae.
CGGGGGCCCGCACAAGCGGUGGAGCAUGUGGUUUAAUUCCAUGCAACGCGAAGAACCUUACCUACACUUGACAUGCUGAGAAGUUACUAGAGAUAGUUUCGUGCCUUUGGGAACUCAGACACAGGUGCUGCAUGGCUGUCGUCAGCUCGUGUCGUGAGAUGUUGGGUUAAGUCCCGCAACGAGCGCAACCCUUGUCCUUAGUUGCCAGCCUUAAGUUGGGCACUUUAAGGAGACUGCCGGUGACAAACCGGAGGAAGGUGGGGAGGACGUCAAGUCAUCAUGGCCCUUACGUGUAGGGUUACACACGUGCUACAAUGGCAUUUACAGAGGGAAGCGAGACAGUGAUGUGGAGCGGACCCCUUAAAGAAUGUGGUAGUCCGGAUUGGAGUCUGCAACUCG